This 77-nucleotide transfer RNA is filed under the name Rubrivivax sp. RNAcentral's name for it is "tRNA-Glu". It matches the Rfam family "tRNA". Rfam says of the family: Transfer RNA (tRNA) molecules are approximately 80 nucleotides in length. Their secondary structure includes four short double-helical elements and three loops (D, anti-codon, and T loops). RNAcentral also lists the same sequence under 2 other names. The record is from RNAcentral. Lineage: Bacteria; Pseudomonadati; Pseudomonadota; Betaproteobacteria; Burkholderiales; Sphaerotilaceae.
GUCGCGUUCGUCUAGACGGCCGAGGACACCACCCUUUCAAGGUGGGUACGCGGGUUCGAAUCCCGCACGCGACGCCA